Molecule: ribosomal RNA, 263 nt
Filed under: Bothriocephalus scorpii
Lineage: Eukaryota; Metazoa; Platyhelminthes; Cestoda; Bothriocephalidea; Bothriocephalidae
Description: partial 18S ribosomal RNA
Rfam family: Eukaryotic small subunit ribosomal RNA
Source: RNAcentral
GACGGUGGCAACGAGUCUGACCUUCUGGCCCGAAAGGGUUGGGUAAACUGGUCAAUCACCGUCAUGACAGGGAUCGGGGCUUGGAAUUGUUCCCCGUGAACGAGGAAUUCCUAGUAAGUGCAAGUCAUAAGCUUGCGCUGAUUACGUCCCUGCCCUUUGUACACACCGCCCGUCGCUACUACCGAUUGAAUGGUUUAGUAAGGUCCUUGGAUUGGCGCCAUUGAAGCCGCAAGGCUCAGGCGGUGCUGAGAAGACGACCGAAC